CGGCACUCUUUUAGGAGAGGGAUUAGGCCUUCGAGAAAUAGGUUUUUAUGUGUCCAAGUCUAAAAAGAACUGCCCCUUGCAGCUGGAAUUAAGGUAGGAUAAGAUUAGGAUAGGAUAAGAUAAGAUAAGGUUUGUUUGGAUAAGAUAAGGUUGGAUAAGGUUUUGGAUAAUGUUCCUUCUUUUUAGUUGAAUCCUUAUCUUCUUUGUCUUGAAUUUAUUUUCUUCAUCUUUUCAGCAUAUUCCUAGCCUCUUGAACUUCAAAAAUGUCCAUCCACCUUGCUCCAUGUAUGUGCUAUCCAUUCUUGGCCCAAAACU
Molecule: long non-coding RNA, 315 nt
Filed under: Malus domestica (apple)
Lineage: Eukaryota; Viridiplantae; Streptophyta; Magnoliopsida; Rosales; Rosaceae
Description: long non-coding RNA (MDOM_LNC020112)
Source: RNAcentral